GACGAACGCUGGCGGCGUGCUUAACACAUGCAAGUCGAACGGAAAGGCCCUGCUUUUGUGGGGUGCUCGAGUGGCGAACGGGUGAGUAACACGUGAGUAACCUGCCCUUGACUUUGGGAUAACUUCAGGAAACUGGGGCUAAUACCGGAUAGGAGCUCCUGCUGCAUGGUGGGGGUUGGAAAGUUUCGGCGGUUGGGGAUGGACUAGCGGCUUAUCAGCUUGAUGGUGGGGUAGUGGCUUACCAAGGCUUUGACGGGUAGCCGGCCUGAGAGGGUGACCGGGCACAUUGGGACUGAGAUACGGCCCAGACUCCUACGGGAGGCAGCAGUGGGGAAUAUUGCACAAUGGGCGGAAGCCUGAUGCAGCAACGCCGCGUGCGGGAUGACGGCCUUCGGGUUGUAAACCGCUUUCGCCUGUGACGAAGCGUGAGUGACGGUAAUGGGUAAAGAAGCACCGGCUAACUACGUG
This 468-nucleotide ribosomal RNA is filed under the name uncultured bacterium. RNAcentral's name for it is "partial 16S ribosomal RNA". It matches the Rfam family "Bacterial small subunit ribosomal RNA", at positions 28 to 507 of the family's 1533-position model. The record is from RNAcentral.